GUGCAGUGUGAAUUCAGGAUAAGCAUAUUUAACGGAAGAUGGAUAGGAAUUAGAUAGACGAUGCGAACCAUCAAGGCUGAUGUGUAUGCAUUCAUGCACAAAAACUCCGGAGCAGUUAGUGGCCCAUCUGCCAUAACUCGUAUUGAUACGGUCUCUGAGCUUCUUAGGCCUGUCUCCGAAUCACCUAUGACG
This is a long non-coding RNA of Andrographis paniculata, 192 nucleotides long. RefSeq lists it as uncharacterized. The transcript is spliced from 3 exons. The record is from RefSeq and is a predicted model, not a curated record. Lineage: Eukaryota; Viridiplantae; Streptophyta; Magnoliopsida; Lamiales; Acanthaceae.